RNAcentral lists this ribosomal RNA (419 nucleotides) under uncultured bacterium. RNAcentral describes it as "bacterial SSU rRNA". It matches the Rfam family "Bacterial small subunit ribosomal RNA", at positions 356 to 774 of the family's 1533-position model. The record is from RNAcentral.
AAGGAAUAUUGCUCAAUGGGAGAAAUCCUGAAGCAGCAACGCCGCGUGGAGGAUGAAGGGUCUAUGACUUGUAAACUCCUGUAAAGAAGGAAAAAAUUCCCAUUAGAUGGGAGAUGAUGGUACUUCUGGAGUAAGCCCCGGCUAACUACGUGCCAGCAGCCGCGGUAAUACGUAGGGGGCAAGCGUUGUCCGGAUUUACUGGGUGUAAAGGGUGCUCAGGCGGAUUUGUAAGUCAGAGGUGAAAUCUUACAGCUUAACUGUGAAACUGCCUUUGAUACUGCAAGCCUAGAGUAUGGAAGAGAAUGAUGGAAUAUCUGGUGUAGCAGUGAAAUGCGUAGAUAUCAGAUAGAACACCAAUGGCGAAGGCAGUCACUUGGUCCAUUACUGACGCUAAAGCACGAAAGCGUGGGUAGCAAACA